GUCAUUUCCUCCAAUCUUCCUCAGCAACAGGACAUGCCUUGGCGACAUAUAGUCGAGAGGCAAUUGAGUUGCUAGAUUUCUUGCUGUAACCCGGGCAAUGAGACAAGAGAGCAACACUCAGCAGUUCAGCUGGAAUCCUAAACACACUGCAAAGGGCUGAAAUCUGACCUGAAUAGAGAGCGAAAUGAUUUGGGAGGCACUUUAAGAUUUGCUGUCAUACUUGGGGAAAAUGAAUUAUGUUGACAUAUGGCUGAAAACAAUGGUGGAAAGGCAUUCAACAUAAGGCAAUGAAGAAUCAUGCAGUGUUGUGGAGGAGAGGAUCUGGAGCUGUUCCUUUGAGCCCUCUAUGACAGGUAUACAGAGCCACCUGACAGCACAGUAUUUCAGUGAUAAAUGCAGUGGGUCUGGGACUUCCAUUCACUAAAGUCAGGAGUGUGCUGGGCUGAUACUUCAAGGUCAAGUGAAUAUGAAAGAGCCGAACCACACAGCUUGCUAAAAAGAACAAUGCUUCCUAACUUCGACAACUUCUAAAUGUUAUGUUCAUGUGACGUGCUUAUAAACACAGAUGUUGUGUCACAGCAUCGUUUCGUGAUUUUUGAAUGUUUGUGAUUUAAAAAAAAAUCAUAAUCUGUCAGCCACACGUGCUAUAUUCAGUCUAGUUCCUCUACACACUGAUAAUAAAAAUGACAACGACUAUAUAAAUGAAGGUGAAACAUACGCACACACACACAUACGCACUCAGUCGCAGCCAAAACAAUUGAAUUACGGGGCUUGUGGCAUGUUGUCUCACUCUGUGAUAUGUGUGAAAUGGUUAAUUAAAGGUGAGCUCAUUAUUCUUGCUCAGGAUCCAGUAACUGUGUUAACAUGAUCCAUGACUAAUAUAUCACCCACUUAUUGCACCCGAAGAAUUUAAUCAAUUGCUCUGAACACCAAUUCAUACACAAGAGUUGAAGUAAAUAUGCCACUAUAAAUUCUACUGUUUGAUCUGUAUUGUUCAGGAGGAUUGAUGUGUAAAUCAAAAGCCAAUGGUUGUGUAUUAAAUAUGGUGCUUAUAUUAAACUAUUACAGAAGAA
Molecule: long non-coding RNA, 1073 nt
Organism: Carassius carassius (crucian carp)
Lineage: Eukaryota; Metazoa; Chordata; Actinopteri; Cypriniformes; Cyprinidae
Exons: 3
Source: RefSeq, a predicted model, not a curated record